Molecule: ribosomal RNA, 402 nt
Filed under: uncultured Rhodopseudomonas sp.
Lineage: Bacteria; Pseudomonadati; Pseudomonadota; Alphaproteobacteria; Hyphomicrobiales; Nitrobacteraceae
Description: bacterial SSU rRNA
Rfam family: Bacterial small subunit ribosomal RNA
Source: RNAcentral
UGGGGAAUAUUGGACAAUGGGCGCAAGCCUGAUCCAGCCAUGCCGCGUGAGUGAUGAAGGCCCUAGGGUUGUAAAGCUCUUUUGUACGGGAAGAUAAUGACGGUACCGUAAGAAUAAGCCCCGGCUAACUUCGUGCCAGCAGCCGCGGUAAUACGAAGGGGGCUAGCGUUGCUCGGAAUCACUGGGCGUAAAGGGUGCGUAGGCGGGUUUUUAAGUCAGAGGUGAAAUCCUGGAGCUCAACUCCAGAACUGCCUUUGAUACUGGGAAUCUUGAGUAUGGAAGAGGUGAGUGGAACUGCGAGUGUAGAGGUGAAAUUCGUAGAUAUUCGCAAGAACACCAGUGGCGAAGGCGGCUCACUGGUCCAUAACUGACGCUGAGGCACGAAAGCGUGGGGAGCAAACA